RNAcentral lists this long non-coding RNA (647 nucleotides) under Bos taurus (domestic cattle). RNAcentral's name for it is "long non-coding RNA NONBTAT006191". Lineage: Eukaryota; Metazoa; Chordata; Mammalia; Artiodactyla; Bovidae. The record is from RNAcentral.
AGGAUUUCUUAUUAAAAGCAAACAAGUGUAAAUCACUUGGUUAGCUCGCAUAGAGAGAAGCUAGCACAGGGAUGUCCAGGUCUGUGGAACUGUGGCACCGUCUUCAGGGAGCAGACAGGGUUGAUGCAGAUGUGACUUCCAUCUUUCUGGUAGUCCCUUCUUACCUCUGAUUUGGUGACAAAUUUGCAUGCAUUCUCACCACUCCUCUUAUUCCUACUCCUGGUUUUGGAAUCCCGAGGAUUUGUUUUAAGAAUCAGAAGGGAUGGUGAUAUUAAAAGAAAGAUAUCAAGUCAUGUGGUUGUUCUAAAUCAACUCAUUUCUGACCAAGGAUGACCUCAGGUGGCCUCAGAGAUAGGAACAUGGACAUAUCCUUGCUUUAGGAAGAAAGGUCAAUUCAGAGUAUCUACAUGUCAUGGAGAAAUGACAUCUUUUUGCUUUUUGAAAAAUUAUCUUCACAGAUAAACAGGAAAAAACUACUUGUGCAGUAUAUAUAUUGGUAUUGAUAUUUUUCAACUUUGUACCAUCAACUGAAAAACUGAGCUGGUAUUCUGUUUAAUUUGGGAUGGUUUUUAUUUAUUCAUUAGAAAACAUUAGGGGAUUAGGCAGUGUUUUAAAGAAAAGAUACCUUGGUCUUAUUUGUAGAACUU